Long non-coding RNA from Salvelinus fontinalis (brook trout), 1517 nucleotides. RefSeq lists it as uncharacterized. The transcript is spliced from 2 exons. Lineage: Eukaryota; Metazoa; Chordata; Actinopteri; Salmoniformes; Salmonidae. The record is from RefSeq and is a predicted model, not a curated record.
CCUGAAGCAGGAGGAGAAUGUGCACAAAGAAGAAGAGGACCAAACUUAUCAAAUGACAUUCGUGCAACACUAGUGGACCAUGUUGUGAACCACGGAUUGACGCUGAGGGAGGCUGGACUGAGAGUACAGCCAAAUCUUAGCAGAUAUACAGUGGCAUCUGUCAUAAUGUCACUUUCCGACAGGAAAACAGGUAAAAGAAGAUCUGUCUACAGUUACAGUAAUCAGCCGCUUAUUGUAUGCACCAUAUCCGCACUUGUGAUACCCCUUCCUGUGACAUUGUACAGUAAGUUACAUGUAUUAUUCUCUACAUAGGAUUGAGGGUCGGGAACGACAAGGAGGAAGGGGGCCCAUAUUCACGCAAGAACAAGAGAGAGAGAUAAUAGACAUGGUUUUGGCCAAUAAUGCUAUCGGGCUCAGAGAACUACAAGCCAACAUUAUCGGUGACCAUGCCAUUUUCAAUAAUGUCCAUCAGGUCUCUCAGUCAACACUGGCACGCAUCCUGAAAAGACAUCAGGUUCAAAUGAAACAACUUUAUCGAGUGCCUUUUGAGCGGAAUUCAGAGAGGGUCAAACGGCUGCGGCAUGAGUAUGUGGAGGGAGUUUUGCAGAUGGAUGCUGAGGAAAUCCUGCAUGAAUUCAUAUACUGUAUACUGAUGAGGCAGGGUUCAACCUCACAAAAGCAAGAAGGCGAGGCAGAAAUAUCAUUGGCCACAGGGCUAUAAUCAAUGUCCCAGGGCAACGUGGGGAUAACAUCACCCUUUGCGCUGCCAUUUCACAGCAUGGGGUUGUCCUCCGUCAUGCCAAAAUGGGCCUUUACAACACACCUCACAUUCUCACAUUUUUGGACCGAUUGCACCACAUCGUCACAGUAGGUAAUGAAAUGCACCAGAUGCAAUACACGGUCUUCUGGGACAAUGUGUCAUUCCACCGCUCUGCUUUGGUCCAGAACUGGUUUCAACACCAUCCACAGUUGACAGUACUAUACCUUCCACCAUACUCUCCGUUUCUAAACCCUAUCGAAGAGUUUUUCUCUGCAUGGCGGUGGAAGGUUUACGAUCUCCAGCCCCAGGCUCAGGUACCCCUCAUUCAGGCCAUAGAGGACGCCUGUGACCAAGUCGACGGCGCAGCUGUGCAAGGAUGGAUUCGACAUUCAAGACGGUUCUUCCCGCGUUGUCUUGCUAAUGACGAUAUUGCUUGUGAUGUUGAUGAAAUUCUCUGGCCAGAUCCAGCUAGGCGAAGAGAUAAUGUAUAGUAUGUUUACUGUAGUAUUUUCUGUACAAUAUUGUCAGUUUUUUUCUGAUUAUUUUUUAUGUUUGUUGUUGUUGUUAUUUACUGUAAUUGUAACCUGUACUGGAUACAGUAUUUUAAGUUUGUCUGUUGUUUGCUGAGCUAACAGUGUUAUGCACACUACUGUAGUAGCAUGAAAACUGGGACAUGUUUUGUUGUGAUUCUCCAUGUUGACAUGUUGACUGAUUUGGGUAUAUGGAGAGAAAUAAAUGAUAUUUUCCUCAGUCUGCA